RNAcentral lists this ribosomal RNA (443 nucleotides) under uncultured bacterium. RNAcentral describes it as "partial 16S ribosomal RNA". It matches the Rfam family "Bacterial small subunit ribosomal RNA", at positions 338 to 795 of the family's 1533-position model. The record is from RNAcentral.
CCUACGGGAGGCAGCAGUGGGGAAUAUUGGGCAAUGGGCGCAAGCCUGACCCAGCAACGCCGCGUGAAGGAAGAAGGCUUUCGGGUUGUAAACUUCUUUUGUCAGGGACGAAGCAAGUGACGGUACCUGACGAAUAAGCCACGGCUAACUACGUGCCAGCAGCCGCGGUACUACGUAGGUGGCAAGCGUUAUCCGGAUUUACUGGGUGUAAAGGGCGUGUAGGCGGGGAAGCAAGUCAGAUGUGAAAACCACGGGCUCAACCUGUGGCCUGCAUUUGAAACUGUUUUUCUUGAGUGCUGGAGAGGCAAUCGGAAUUCCGGGUGUAGCGGUGAAAUGCGUAGAUAUACGGAGGAACACCAGUGGCGAAGGCGGAUUGCUGGACAGUAACUGACGCUGAGGCGCGAAAGCGUGGGGAGCAAACAGGAUUAGAUACCCCUGUAGUC